This 401-nucleotide ribosomal RNA is filed under the name Escherichia coli. RNAcentral describes it as "partial 23S ribosomal RNA". It matches the Rfam family "Bacterial large subunit ribosomal RNA", at positions 1 to 432 of the family's 2925-position model. The record is from RNAcentral. Lineage: Bacteria; Pseudomonadati; Pseudomonadota; Gammaproteobacteria; Enterobacterales; Enterobacteriaceae.
GGGUUGUGAGGUUAAGCGACUAAGCGUACACGGUGGAUGCCCUGGCAGUCAGAGGCGAUGAAGGACGUGCUAAUCUGCGAUAAGCGUCGGUAAGGUGAUAUGAACCGUUAUAACCGGCGAUUUCCGAAUGGGGAAACCCAGUGUGAUUCGUCACACUAUCAUUAACUGAAUCCAUAGGUUAAUGAGGCGAACCGGGGGAACUGAAACAUCUAAGUACCCCGAGGAAAAGAAAUCAACCGAGAUUCCCCCAGUAGCGGCGAGCGAACGGGGAGGAGCCCAGAGCCUGAAUCAGUGUGUGUGUUAGUGGAAGCGUCUGGAAAGGCGCGCGAUACAGGGUGACAGCCCCGUACACAAAAAUGCACAUGCUGUGAGCUCGAUGAGUAGGGCGGGACACGUGGUAU